This 640-nucleotide ribosomal RNA is filed under the name Escherichia coli. RNAcentral's name for it is "partial 23S ribosomal RNA". It matches the Rfam family "Bacterial large subunit ribosomal RNA", at positions 375 to 1019 of the family's 2925-position model. The record is from RNAcentral. Lineage: Bacteria; Pseudomonadati; Pseudomonadota; Gammaproteobacteria; Enterobacterales; Enterobacteriaceae.
GUACACAAAAAUGCACAUACUGUGAGCUCGAUGAGUAGGGCGGGACACGUGGUAUCCUGUCUGAAUAUGGGGGGACCAUCCUCCAAGGCUAAAUACUCCUGACUGACCGAUAGUGAACCAGUACCGUGAGGGAAAGGCGAAAAGAACCCCGGCGAGGGGAGUGAAAAAGAACCUGAAACCGUGUACGUACAAGCAGUGGGAGCCUCUUAAUGGGGUGACUGCGUACCUUUUGUAUAAUGGGUCAGCGACUUAUAUUCUGUAGCAAGGUUAACCGAAUAGGGGAGCCGAAGGGAAACCGAGUCUUAACUGGGCGUUAAGUUGCAGGGUAUAGACCCGAAACCCGGUGAUCUAGCCAUGGGCAGGUUGAAGGUUGGGUAACACUAACUGGAGGACCGAACCGACUAAUGUUGAAAAAUUAGCGGAUGACUUGUGGCUGGGGGUGAAAGGCCAAUCAAACCGGGAGAUAGCUGGUUCUCCCCGAAAGCUAUUUAGGUAGCGCCUCGUGAAUUCAUCUCCGGGGGUAGAGCACUGUUUCGGCAAGGGGGUCAUCCCGACUUACCAACCCGAUGCAAACUGCGAAUACCGGAGAAUGUUAUCACGGGAGACACACGGCGGGUGCUAACGUCCGUCGUGAAGAGGG